RNAcentral lists this unclassified non-coding RNA (583 nucleotides) under Hevea brasiliensis (rubber tree). Lineage: Eukaryota; Viridiplantae; Streptophyta; Magnoliopsida; Malpighiales; Euphorbiaceae. The record is from RNAcentral.
GCCUGCAUGCUGCUGCCUUUCCCUUUCAUGACCAUAUGAUGAAAAAUUCUCACCUGAUUUGUUCCUUCCGUAUUGCAAUCCAACAUGCUCCCUGGAAAGUUCCUUGCUAGGUAAAGGUGAUGCUGAUGGGGGCAGACUAACUGGAUAUGACACAGAAUGUUUAAAAGUUGGAUGUAGCCAUGGUGCUGGCGUAAACAGCUUUUUCAACUGCCCUACCUGCUUAAAUGUCAACUCAGUCUUGAACUUGUGAGUUCUUUCAUCAUAAUUCUCUUGAAUUGCUCUCUUGAACAAAUUCUCCGUCAAUGGAAGGCAGUCCUUGAAAAUCCUGAAGCGAACCUGCGCUGGGAAGUCCCCACCAAAUGCCGCUGGUUCAAGUUUCAUUCCACCAGCAGAUGAAGCCUCAUAAAUACCAUACAUGAGCUUAAGAUCAACAUCAAAGAGAUAAAGCUUGACACCAGGCUUGAUUCCCAAAAUAAUGUCUUUCUUCAUAGCUGAGACACCCAUCACAUGAUAUUUGAAACAAUCAUCUUUGGUCUUUGCAUUGCACAUGAAAAUAACUCCACCAAUAGCCUUUUCAGCUUUU